Non-coding RNA from Equus caballus (horse), 510 nucleotides. The record is from RefSeq and is a predicted model, not a curated record. Lineage: Eukaryota; Metazoa; Chordata; Mammalia; Perissodactyla; Equidae.
AGAGUGUAGUGUACUCCGAAAAGAAGCCAGUGUGUUUGUGUGUAUGUGUGCGUGUGCACGUUGGGGGUGUAAGUCUAGAGAGGGGCAUAACCCCCUCCCCCCAAUACAGGGCAAAAGUCUUCCCACUGCACGUGCUCUUCACAGAUUCCCAUUCUAGAGUCCAGGUAAAGCAACAAGGUAGUUUUGGGGCCCAUAUCUAGAGUUCCUCCUUCAGAGGAGAGAUUGCUCAGGUCCCUCGCCAACACCUCCCUUCCCUCCAAAUUGGAGGUCCAAUUGAGUUGGGGACAGUGUCUCCAAGGAGAGAAGAAAAUCCUUAUUCCAUGAAUCAGGCAACAUACCCUGCACACUGGCCCUCACUCCCACCUUUGAAAACCUCUUUCUCUGCUUUGGUCCUGGAAAUGCCAAUUCAAGUCUCCAGCUUUAGGGAUCACAAUGGCUGUUGGAUGCUCAGGGCUCCAGGUCGUGCUCAGGGCACUGAUGGCCAAUGAGGAAGUCCUAUGGCUGUGGCUA